UUACCAGACUCCUACGGGAGGCAGCAGUGGGGGAUAUUGCACAAUGGGGGAAACCCUGAUGCAGCGACGCCGCGUGGGUGAAGAAGCGCCUCGGCGCGUAAAGCCCUGUCAGCAGGGAAGAAAAUGACGGUACCUGAAGAAGAAGCCCCGGCUAACUACGUGCCAGCAGCCGCGGUAAUACGUAGGGGGCAAGCGUUAUCCGGAUUUACUGGGUGUAAAGGGAGCGUAGACGGCAGCGCAAGUCUGAAGUGAAAUGCCAGGGCUUAACCCUGGAACUGCUUUGGAAACUGUGCAGCUAGAGUGCAGGAGAGGUAAGUGGAAUUUCUAGUGUAGCGGUGAAAUGCGUAGAUAUUAGGAGGAACACCAGUGGCGAAGGCGGCUUACUGGACUGUAACUGACGUUGAGGCUCGAAAGCGUGGGGAGCAAACAGGAUUAGAUACCCCCGUAAC
RNAcentral lists this ribosomal RNA (449 nucleotides) under uncultured bacterium. RNAcentral describes it as "bacterial SSU rRNA". It matches the Rfam family "Bacterial small subunit ribosomal RNA", at positions 328 to 794 of the family's 1533-position model. The record is from RNAcentral.